This 253-nucleotide long non-coding RNA is filed under the name Ananas comosus (pineapple). RNAcentral's name for it is "long non-coding RNA (ACOM_LNC010894)". The record is from RNAcentral. Lineage: Eukaryota; Viridiplantae; Streptophyta; Magnoliopsida; Poales; Bromeliaceae.
AGAGAGAAAAUAAAAUAGUAAAAAUGGCUUAGAUUGAAGCGAGAAAUGAGAUAUGUCUAUUUUUUUCUUGAUCAGUAAAUUUUAUUUUAUUCGUAUUUUUUAUUUUUUAUUUUUUAUGAUUGUGCUAAUAUUUUGUUGAGUAGACGGAUUUAUGAUAAAAAUUUAAUUUAACGUUUUCGUCGCAAAAUUCCAAUACAGAUAGUAGAGCAACUAAGCGAGUACCCAAUUCCCAACAUAUUUCUGGUGAACAGAA